This is a long non-coding RNA of Cygnus olor (mute swan), 408 nucleotides long. RefSeq lists it as uncharacterized. Lineage: Eukaryota; Metazoa; Chordata; Aves; Anseriformes; Anatidae. The transcript has 3 exons. The record is from RefSeq and is a predicted model, not a curated record.
ACAGCAACUCCAUUGACUUUCUUUCUUACAUUGAAUUUCCCACAUGGGGGAGCACUUCAGAACUGCCAGUCAUGCUUACACCACUACUGCUGUUUCAGUCCAGAAAGAUCACGCGUCUGUUGUGUACGUGCACCAGCACUGCUCUGGUGCCUUUCAUUCUGCUCUACUCUGGCCACUUGAGAUAGGCUCUUGAACUCUAAUGCUGAGACUGCUGCUUGCACGGCAUCCUCUACCCUCUUGAUACUGGGAGAGGUGGACCUAGCACUCAGGCAGGAAAGGAGCUGUUUCCCCAAGAUGACAAAGGUGUGUGUAUACCCAGCAACUCUGAUGUUCUAGAGACAUGGGAGGCCAUGGAAGAGCUGGUGGAUGCUGGUCUGGUAAAAGCCAUUGGCAUCUCCAACUUUAACC